UGCAAGUCGAGCGAGAAGGGUUUGGUGCUUGCAUUGAACCUGGAAAGCGGCGAAAGGGAGAGUAACGCGUAGAUAUGUACCCUAGGGUCUGGGAUAGCGUCGGGAAACUGGCGGUAAUACCGGAUAAUGUCCCCGGACCAAAGGUUUACUGCCCUAGGAGCAGUCUGCGUCCUACUAGCUUGUUGGUGGGGUAAUGGCCUACCAAGGCAAUGAUGGGUAGCGGGCGUGAGAGCGUGACCCGUCUCACUGGGACUGAGACACUGCCCAGACACCUACGGGUGGCUGCAGUCGAGAAUCUUCCGCAAUGGACGAAAGUCUGACGGAGCGACGCCGCGUGCGGGAUGAAGGCCCUCGGGUUGUAAACCGCUGUCAGAGGGGAGGAAAUUUUGACCGAACCUCAGAGGAAGUCCGGGCUAAGUUCGUGCCAGCAGCCGCGGUAACACGAACCGGACAAACGUUAUUCGGAAUUACUGGGCUUAAAGAGUGCGUAGGCGGCCAUGUAGGUGGGGUGUGAAAGCCCACGGCUCAACCGUGGAAUAGCGCUCCAAACCACUUGGCUUGAGGGAGACAGGGGUAAGCGGAACUGAUGGUGGAGCGGUGAAAUGCGUUGAUAUCAUCAGGAACACCAGUGGCGAAGGCGGCUUACUGGGUCUCUACUGACGCUGAGGCACGAAAGCUAGGGUAGCGAACAGGAUUAGAUACCCUGGUAGUCCUAGCUGUAAA
This 723-nucleotide ribosomal RNA is filed under the name uncultured bacterium. RNAcentral's name for it is "bacterial SSU rRNA". It matches the Rfam family "Bacterial small subunit ribosomal RNA", at positions 56 to 806 of the family's 1533-position model. The record is from RNAcentral.